RNAcentral lists this unclassified non-coding RNA (254 nucleotides) under Hevea brasiliensis (rubber tree). The record is from RNAcentral. Lineage: Eukaryota; Viridiplantae; Streptophyta; Magnoliopsida; Malpighiales; Euphorbiaceae.
CAGCCAACCUGUGAUCGCCCAUCAAAGCACUGUCCUUUCUAACAACCACCAAAAACAACCAGCUUCAACCUUCAAAGUUCAAACGCCCACUUGCUUUCAUCGCCGCUUGGCGGAGUUCCCGACGCUCUGCCCCUCUCUUUCCUCUUCUAUAGAAACCCCACUAAGACCCAGCCUUUCUCUUCACCGCCCUCUCUACAAAUCCCCUAAAACUAGAAGACCAGAGACGAGUGCAACAUAAAGAAAUGGCCUUGGCC